AUCCCUCCUCAGCCUUUUGGCUAAUAUCAAGUUUAGUAUCUGUUCUUAUCAGUUUAAUAUCUGACACACCCUCUAACCGAGGACAAUAUAUUACCUGGACUUUUGGAACUAGGAGAUGGAAUAGGAGCUUGCUCCAUCCACUCUAAGCAUUGACCUGGUAUUGUAGUAUCUCGAGGAAUGGUGCACCCCCU
Nannospalax galili (Upper Galilee mountains blind mole rat) is the source of this 191-nucleotide small nuclear RNA. Its record names the gene U2. It matches the Rfam family "U2 spliceosomal RNA". From Rfam's summary of the family: U2 is a small nuclear RNA (snRNA) component of the spliceosome (involved in pre-mRNA splicing). Complementary binding between U2 snRNA (in an area lying towards the 5' end but 3' to hairpin I) and the branchpoint sequence (BPS) of the intron results the bulging out of an unpaired adenosine, on the BPS, which initiates a nucleophilic attack at the intronic 5' splice site, thus starting the first of two transesterification reactions that mediate splicing. Lineage: Eukaryota; Metazoa; Chordata; Mammalia; Rodentia; Spalacidae. The record is from Ensembl.